CCUACGGGAGGCAGCAGUGAGGAAUAUUGGUCAAUGGUCGGGAGACUGAACCAGCCAAGCCGCGUGAGGGAUGAAGGUACAGAGUAUCGUAAACCUCUUUUGUCAGGGAACAAAGGCGGGGACGUGUCCCCGGAUGAGCGUACCUGAAGAAAAAGCAUCGGCUAACUCCGUGCCAGCAGCCGCGGUAAUACGGAGGAUGCGAGCGUUAUCCGGAUUUAGUGGGUUUAAAGGGUGCGCAGGCGGUCUGUUAAGUCAGCGGUCAAAGCCCGGGGCUCAACCCCGGCCCGCCGUUGAAACUGGCAGUCUCGAGUUGGAGAGAGGUAUGCGGAAUGCGCGGUGUAGCGGUGAAAUGCAUAGAUAUCGCGCAGAACUCCGAUUGCGAAGGCAGCAUGCCGGCUCCACACUGACGCUGAGGCACGAAAGCGUGGGUAUCGAACAGGAUUAGAUACCCCAGUAGUC
RNAcentral lists this ribosomal RNA (459 nucleotides) under uncultured bacterium. RNAcentral describes it as "partial 16S ribosomal RNA". It matches the Rfam family "Bacterial small subunit ribosomal RNA", at positions 338 to 795 of the family's 1533-position model. The record is from RNAcentral.